AAUGAAACGCUGGCGGGCGUGCUUUAACACAUGCAAGUCGAACGGUGAAGCCCCAGCUUGCUGGGUGGAUCAGUGGCGAACGGGUGAGUAACACGUGAGCAACCUGCCCUGGACUCUGGGAUAAGCGCUGGAAACGGCGUCUAAUACUGGGAUAUGAGACGUGGCCGCAUGGUCAAACGUUUGGAAAAGAUUUUUCGGUCUGGGAUGGGCUCGCGGCCUAUCAGCUUGUUGGUGAGGUAAUGGCUCACCAAGGCGUCGACGGGUAGCCGGCCUGAGAGGGUGACCGGCCACACUGGGACUGAGACACGGCCCAGACUCCUACGGGAGGCAGCAGUGGGGAAUAUUGCACAAUGGGCGGAAGCCUGAUGCAGCAACGCCGCGUGAGGGAUGACGGCCUUCGGGUUGUAAACCUCUUUUAGCAAGGAAGAAGCUUUUGUGACGGUACUUGCAGAAAAAGCGCCGGCUAACUACGUGCCAGCAGCCGCGGUAAUAAGUAGGGCGCAAGCGUUAUCCGGAAUUAUUGGGCGUAAAGAGCUCGUAGGCGGUUUGUCGCGUCUGCUGUGAAAUCCCGAGGCUCAACCUCGGGCCUGCAGUGGGUACGGGCAGACUAGAGUGCGGUAGGGGAGAUUGGAAUUCCUGGUGUAGCGGUGGAAUGCGCAGAUAUCAGGAGGAACACCGAUGGCGAAGGCAGAUCUUUGGGCCGUAACUGACGCUGAGGAGCGAAAGGGUGGGGAGCAAACAGGCUUAGAUACCCUGGUAGUCC
This 763-nucleotide ribosomal RNA is filed under the name Microbacterium sp. BAB-4898. RNAcentral's name for it is "bacterial SSU rRNA". It matches the Rfam family "Bacterial small subunit ribosomal RNA", at positions 28 to 796 of the family's 1533-position model. The record is from RNAcentral. Lineage: Bacteria; Bacillati; Actinomycetota; Actinomycetes; Micrococcales; Microbacteriaceae.